RNAcentral lists this ribosomal RNA (465 nucleotides) under uncultured bacterium. Its description in RNAcentral is "partial 16S ribosomal RNA". It matches the Rfam family "Bacterial small subunit ribosomal RNA", at positions 28 to 507 of the family's 1533-position model. The record is from RNAcentral.
GACGAACGCUGGCGGCGUGCUUAACACAUGCAAGUCGAACGGAAAGGCCCUGCUUGCAGGGUACUCGAGUGGCGAACGGGUGAGUAACACGCGUGUGUUCUGCCCUGCACUUCGGGAUAAGCCUUGGAAACUGGGUCUAUUAUCGGAGAGGAGCCAUCUUGAGUUUGGUGGGGGGAAAGUUUUUUCGGUGUGGUAUGAGCGCGCGGCCUAUCAGCUUGUUGGUGGGGUAAUGGGCUACCAAGGCGGCGGCGGGUAGCCGGCCUGGGGGGGUGGACGGCCACAUUGGGACUGGGAUACGGCCCAGGCUCCUACGGGAGGGAGCAGUGGGGGAGAUUGCACAAUGGGCGCAAGCCUGAUGCAGCGACGCCGCGUGGGGGAUGACGGCCUUCGGGUUGGGAACUCCUUUCGCUAGGGACGGAGCUGUUUGUGACGGUACCUAGAUAAGAAGCACCGGCUAACUACGUG